GGAGGGAUGACCGAGUGGACGAAGGUGCGCGCUUGGAAAGCGCGUGUAGGGGCACAAACCUCUACCGUGGGUUCGAAUCCCACUCCCUCCGCCA
Molecule: transfer RNA, 94 nt
Filed under: Acidobacteriota bacterium
Lineage: Bacteria; Pseudomonadati; Acidobacteriota
Also listed under: 1 other name
Description: Acidobacteria bacterium tRNA-Ser
Rfam family: tRNA
About the family: Transfer RNA (tRNA) molecules are approximately 80 nucleotides in length. Their secondary structure includes four short double-helical elements and three loops (D, anti-codon, and T loops).
Source: RNAcentral